This 253-nucleotide ribosomal RNA is filed under the name uncultured bacterium. RNAcentral describes it as "partial 16S ribosomal RNA". It matches the Rfam family "Bacterial small subunit ribosomal RNA", at positions 524 to 776 of the family's 1533-position model. The record is from RNAcentral.
UACAGAGGUCUCAAGCGUUGUUCGGAUUCAUUGGGCGUAAAGGGUGUGUAGGUGGCGCCGUAAGUCGGGUGUGAAAUUUCGGAGCUUAACUCCGAAACUGCAUUCGAUACUGCGGUGCUUGAGGACUGGAGAGGAGACUGGAAUUCAUGGUGUAGCAGUGAAAUGCGUAGAUAUUAGGAAGAACACCAGUGGCGAAGGCGGCUCACUGGCCCGGUACUGACGCUGAGGCGCGAAAGCGUGGGGAGCAAACAGG